This 483-nucleotide ribosomal RNA is filed under the name uncultured bacterium. RNAcentral describes it as "partial 16S ribosomal RNA". It matches the Rfam family "Bacterial small subunit ribosomal RNA", at positions 30 to 507 of the family's 1533-position model. The record is from RNAcentral.
AUUGAACGCUGGCGGCAGGCCUAACACAUGCAAGUCGAGCGGAUGAAGGGAGCUUGCUCCUGGAUUCAGCGGCGGACGGGUGAGUAAUGCCUAGGAAUCUGCCUGGUAGUGGGGGAUAACGUCCGGAAACGGGCGCUAAUACCGCAUACGUCCUGAGGGAGAAAGUGGGGGAUCUUCGGACCUCACGCUAUCAGAUGAGCCUAGGUCGGAUUAGCUAGUUGGUGGGGUAAAGGCCUACCAAGGCGACGAUCCGUAACUGGUCUGAGGGGAUGAUCAGUCACUGGGGAAAGAGGAAGCGUGCCAACCCCGGGGGGGAGGCAGCGGGGGGAAUUUUUGGAAAGGGGGCGAAAGCGUAUACCAGCCAAGCGGGGGGUGUAAAAAAGAGCUUUGGUUUGUAAAGCAUUUUAAUUGGGGGGGAGGGGAAGUAAUUUAAUCCCUUGCUUUUUUGACGUACCCAAAAAAAAAACCACCGCUAACUUUCGG